GACAGAGGGUGCAAACGUUGUUCGGAAUUACUGGGCGUAAAGCGUGUGUAGGCGGUCCGAUAAGUCGGGUGUGAAAGCCCUGGGCUCAACCCAGGAAGUGCACUCGAAACUGCCGGGCUAGAGUAUCGGAGAGGUUGGUGGAAUUCUCGGUGUAGAGGUGAAAUUCGUAGAUAUCGAGAGGAACACCGGCGGCGAAGGCGGCCAACUGGACGAAUACUGACGCUGAGACACGAAAGCGUGGGGAGCAAACAGG
RNAcentral lists this ribosomal RNA (253 nucleotides) under uncultured bacterium. RNAcentral describes it as "partial 16S ribosomal RNA". It matches the Rfam family "Bacterial small subunit ribosomal RNA", at positions 524 to 776 of the family's 1533-position model. The record is from RNAcentral.